CAAAGACCAUCCCUGUUUUUGUCACGUGGAAGUAAUCAUGAGAAACAUUAUAAAAUUAAACGCUGUGCUUUGGAGUCGUCCUUGACAUAGAAAUUUCGAACCGUGGUUUCUUUGAGUUUUUUUUUUGUUGUUAUUUUUUAUUGCGUUUGUUCCUUUAUGUCAACAAAGUUAUUUAGCUAAUAUGAAAUUCGAAUACAUUUUGCUUACAUGCUAUAUUACAUAUAUUAUCCCCGCGUUAGCGGCAAAAAGUGUGCUGCUUUCAAAAGAGUCAUUACCAGAACUAGACACAAAAAGCGAUGAAGAAAUAGCUGAAGCUGAAGCUGCUGCGGAUGAACAUGUAAUCGAAGAAUCAAAUGAAGUCGAAUCUGAGGAGCCAACAGACCACCACGUUAAGAAAAAGCAUCCCCACAACAAAACUGCAGAGGCAACGUUGGAUGAACUGAAGGACAUGCUCAAAAAUCUUACCGAGACAUCAAAUGUUACAUCUUCAGAAGAAGAGAUUGAAACAACAACGCCGUAUAAUGUCAAGCACUACCUCACAGCGGAACAGAAAUACUAUAUGCUGAGAAUUAAUCUUCUUGGUAUUGGAAUCCGUGUGGUUCACGACAUCAUCCCUAUCCCAGUGCUCAAUACAGAUCAGUACAAGAAAUCGAUGGAAGCUCUUUUAGAUAAAGUGCAAGCGGCUCGCGUGGCAUCAUCCAAUGUGACUGCUGGGAAAAUGCACAACAUCACACUCGAGGAUGCCCACAAGCUCCAACUGAAAAUGACUCAUUCUGGAUCGACUGUGGCCCCAGCAGCAUCCAAGGCGACCCACAUCAGCCGGACAACCGAGGCCAUGAUUCUGGUUGGCGUGGUUGUUGGCAUAGUCCUGAUCGGUGGUCUGCUGUACGCCUGCAAACGCUCCAUGGACGGCAGGGGAGACUACUACGACCAUCUGCAGGGCGGCGGCGGAGCCGUGCCCCUCAACUAGUCCCAGUUAGAACCGCCGUCUAGCUGCCGUGACUACCAGCCAGGCAGAGCAAGACUAUUGAUACAGUUUGCCAGCGUAUGUAGUCCAACAUUUUUUUUACCCGCUGCUGUGUUGCUGGAUGUUCAGCAGCUUUAAUUUAUACGCGGUGAGCGCUGCACGUUUUUCGCUAAAAGUGUAUCACUUUAGUUGAAUUGAAAUGCAUUAUCAAAUUUACAACUGAAUCUGGUCAGUUUUUCCAUUUUUAUGCUAAUAAAAAGCGAGGCGUGUCGUC
This is a long non-coding RNA of Amphibalanus amphitrite, 1241 nucleotides long. RefSeq lists it as uncharacterized. The record is from RefSeq and is a predicted model, not a curated record. Lineage: Eukaryota; Metazoa; Arthropoda; Thecostraca; Balanomorpha; Balanidae. The transcript is spliced from 2 exons.